RNAcentral lists this non-coding RNA (211 nucleotides) under Caloranaerobacter azorensis. Its description in RNAcentral is "T-box sequence". It matches the Rfam family "T-box leader". From Rfam's summary of the family: Uncharged tRNA acts as the effector for transcription antitermination of genes in the T-box leader family. T-boxes are found upstream of many aminoacyl-tRNA synthetase genes and some amino acid biosynthetic genes usually in Gram-positive bacteria. The record is from RNAcentral. Lineage: Bacteria; Bacillati; Bacillota; Tissierellia; Tissierellales; Thermohalobacteraceae.
AUAUCGGCGAAGAGGGGAAAUAGUAGAUAAUCAAGGUCUACAGAGAGGAAAUCCUUGGCUGAAAGAUUUCUGACCCGCUGUUUAUCGAACCCGUCCCUGAGCUUCUAGACUGAAAUUAGUAGGUCUAGACGGUUAAUACCGUUAGAUAUUUAAGAGAGGGCUAUAUUUUUAGCCAAUUAGGGUGGUAACGCGGAUAACCUUCGUCCCUAGA